RNAcentral lists this ribosomal RNA (1045 nucleotides) under uncultured bacterium. RNAcentral's name for it is "bacterial SSU rRNA". It matches the Rfam family "Bacterial small subunit ribosomal RNA", at positions 67 to 1158 of the family's 1533-position model. The record is from RNAcentral.
CGAAGUAGCAAUACUUAGUGGCAGACGGGUGAGUAACAUGUGGGUAUCUGCCCUUUGGCCUGGAAUAACACGAGGAAACUUGUGCUAAUACCGGAUAAGUCUUUACGGAGAAAGCUUUAUGCACCAUUGGAUGAGCCCGCACUUGAUUAGUUUGUUGGUGGGGUAAUGGCCUACCAAGACUGUGAUCAAUAGCUGAUUUGAGGGGAUGAUCAGCCACAUUGGGACUGAGACACGGCCCAAACUCCUACGGGAGGCAGCAGUGGGGAAUCUUGCACAAUGGAGGAAACUCUGAUGCAGCGAUGCCGCGUGAGUGAAGAAGGCCCUUGGGUUGUAAAGCUCUUUCGUCGGGGAAGAAAAUGACUGUACCCGAAUAAGAAGGUCCGGCUAACUUCGUGCCAGCAGCCGCGGUAAUACGAAGGGACCUAGCGUAGUUCGGAAUUACUGGGCUUAAAGAGUUCGUAGGUGGUUGAAAAAGUUAGUGGUGAAAUCCCAGAGCUUAACUCUGGAACUGCCAUUAAAACUUUUCAGCUAGAGUAUGAUAGAGGAAAGCAGAAUUUCUAGUGUAGAGGUGAAAUUCGUAGAUAUUAGAAAGAAUACCAAUUGCGAAGGCAGCUUUCUGGAUCAUUACUGACACUGAGGAACGAAAGCAUGGGUAGCGAAGAGGAUUAGAUACCCUCGUAGUCCAUGCCGUAAACGAUGUGUGUUAGACGUUGGAAAUUUAUUUUCAGUGUCGCAGCGAAAGCGAUAAACACACCGCCUGGGGAGUACGACCGCAAGGUUAAAACUCAAAUGAAUUGACGGGGACCCGCACAAGUAGUGGAGCAUGUGGUUUAAUUCGAAGAUACGCGCAGAACCUUACCAACACUUGACAUGUUCGUCGCGACUCUAAGAGAUUAGAGUUUUCGGUUCGGCCGGACGAAACACAGGUGCUGCAUGGCUGUCGUCAGCUCGUGUCGUGAGAUGUUGGGUUAAGUCCCGCAACGAGCGCAACCCUCACUUUUAGUUGCCAUCAUUUAGUUGGGCACUCUGAAAGAACUGCCAGUGA